CUGCAGCUAAUUAAGCCAACUGAGUUCCUUUCCUCACAGGGGCCCAAUGUGCAAUGGCUGCAAAGAGCCGCUUCCUUGUAGUAUGUAUGCUGCCCGUUUCUUGUAUGGGUUACUCUAAAGGACCUUGGAGACAGGC
Molecule: small nucleolar RNA, 136 nt
Organism: Nomascus leucogenys (northern white-cheeked gibbon)
Lineage: Eukaryota; Metazoa; Chordata; Mammalia; Primates; Hylobatidae
Gene: SNORA70
Rfam family: Small nucleolar RNA SNORA70
About the family: snoRNA U70 seems to be exclusive to mammals and is a member of the H/ACA class of snoRNA which contain H (ANANNA) and ACA box motifs. H/ACA box snoRNAs are involved in the conversion of uridines to pseudouridines (5-ribosyluracil) a constituent of structural RNAs (transfer, ribosomal, small nuclear, and small nucleolar).
Source: Ensembl